Molecule: small nuclear RNA, 158 nt
Filed under: Salvator merianae (Argentine black and white tegu)
Lineage: Eukaryota; Metazoa; Chordata; Lepidosauria; Squamata; Teiidae
Description: U1 spliceosomal RNA (ENSSMRG00000023015.1)
Rfam family: U1 spliceosomal RNA
About the family: U1 is a small nuclear RNA (snRNA) component of the spliceosome (involved in pre-mRNA splicing). Its 5' end forms complementary base pairs with the 5' splice junction, thus defining the 5' donor site of an intron.
Source: RNAcentral
AGCCAUCCACCACAAGGACACCUUGAUUACCAAGGAGGUUUUCCCAGGGUGAGGCUCAACCAUUGCACUCCAGCUGUGCUGAUCUCUGUGAUUUCCCCAAAUGUGGGAAACUUGCCUGCGUAAUUUUUGGCAAGCAGGCCCAGCAGCGUUUUGCCUGG